Molecule: ribosomal RNA, 523 nt
Filed under: Gibellulopsis serrae
Lineage: Eukaryota; Fungi; Ascomycota; Sordariomycetes; Glomerellales; Plectosphaerellaceae
Description: partial large subunit ribosomal RNA
Rfam family: Eukaryotic large subunit ribosomal RNA
Source: RNAcentral
GUACGGCGAGUGAAGCGGCAACAGCUCAAAUUUGAAAUCUGGCUCCUUCGGGGCCCGAGUUGUAAUUUGCAGAGGAUGCUUCGGGUACGGGUUCCUUCCGAGUUCCCUGGAACGGGACGCCAUAGAGGGUGAGAGCCCCGUCUGGUAGGACACCCAGCCCGUGUGAAGCUCCCUCGACGAGUCGAGUAGUUUGGGAAUGCUGCUCUAACGGGAGGUAUACUCCUUCCAAGGCUAAAUACCGGCUGGAGACCGAUAGCGCACAAGUAGAGUGAUCGAAAGAUGAAAAGCACUUUGAAAAGAGAGUCAAAUAGCACGUGAAAUUGUUGAAAGGGAAGCGCUCGCUACCAGACAUGGGUUCGGCGGUUCAACCGGGGCCACGCCCCGGGGCACUCCGCCGGCCCAGGCCAGCAUCAGCUUUCCGUCGGGGGCAAAGGCGUCGGGAAUGUGGCUCUCCUUCGGGGGAGUGUUAUAGCCCGGCGUGUCAUACCCUUCGGGGGGCUGAGGUACGCGCUUCUGCAAGGAU